Schizosaccharomyces pombe (fission yeast) is the source of this 207-nucleotide non-coding RNA. The record is from the annotation of a GenBank genome assembly. NCBI's taxonomy places the organism in Eukaryota, Fungi, Ascomycota, Schizosaccharomycetes, Schizosaccharomycetales, Schizosaccharomycetaceae.
GAGAUAUUAAGAAGGUAGGAAUGAGCAUUAAGAAGGACUUCUUGAUUUUCAGGAUUUUCUAAUGGUCGAAGAUGAGAGCUAAAGAAAGCGCAAAGGAAGAGAGCCAAAUUUUGGAUAAAGUCUUGCUCGUUUGUGCUACUUUCUUCAUAAGCCUCACGAAAAUCAGUUUGUAAAGGAAGCAUAGAAUUAACAGAGGUCAUCACAAGG